Molecule: ribosomal RNA, 203 nt
Filed under: uncultured bacterium
Lineage: Bacteria
Description: partial 16S ribosomal RNA
Rfam family: Bacterial small subunit ribosomal RNA
Source: RNAcentral
UACGAAGGGGGCUAGCGUUGUUCGGAAUUACUGGGCGUAAAGGGCGCGUAGGCGGUGUGUCAAGUCAGGCGUGAAAGCCCCGGGCUCAACCUGGGAACAGCGCUUGAGACUGGCACGCUCGAGUUGGGAGAGGAUCGGUGGAAUUCCCAGUGUAGAAGGUGAAAUUCGUGAGAUAUUGGGAAGAACACCGGAUGGCGAAGGCA